GAUGAACGCUGGCGGCGUGCCUAAUACAUGCAAGUCGAGCGAAUGGAUUAAGAGCUUGCUCUUAUGAAGUUAGCGGCGGACGGGUGAGUAACACGUGGGUAACCUGCCCAUAAGACUGGGAUAACUCCGGGAAACCGGGGCUAAUACCGGAUAACAUUUUGAACCGCAUGGUUCGAAAUUGAAAGGCGGCUUCGGCUGUCACUUAUGGGUGGACCCGCGUCGCAUUAGCUAGUUGGUGAGGUAACGGCGCACCAAGGCAACGAUGCGUAGCCGCCCUGAAAGGGUGACCAGCACCACUGGGACAGAGACCCGGCCCAGACUCCUACGGGAGGCAGCAGUAUGGAAUCUUACGCAAUGGACGAAAGUCUGACGGAGCAACGCGGCGUGAGUGAUGAAGGCUUUCGGGUCGUAAAACUCUGUUGUUAGGGAAGAACAAGUGCUAGUUGAAUAAGCUGGCACCUUGACGGUACCUAACCAGAAAGCCACGGCUAACUACGUGCCAGCCGCCGCCGUAA
Molecule: ribosomal RNA, 515 nt
Filed under: uncultured bacterium
Lineage: Bacteria
Description: partial 16S ribosomal RNA
Rfam family: Bacterial small subunit ribosomal RNA
Source: RNAcentral